AAAAAAAAAGAAUGAUAUAGAUUUGCUUAGACUAUGUGAUGCUUACAAGCUUUUCACACAAUAUUUUUCACUUUAGUACUAUUGAGUUUGCUUCAAAUGGUAAUAUAUGAGUAUUGUUUGGACAAAAGCUACAAGACCUUCGUUCCUUGUCACACUAUAUGAAAACCCUUCAUAAUCUUCUGCAACCUUUUUGUAGGACUCUUCCUCAUUUUGCCGGUCCCUCACAUUUGCAACAAUUUGUUGUCGCUCUAGAGUGUUAUGUAACCUUAUACAAACAUCAUACAUGUAUUAUUACAAAGCUACAGUAUCAGACACCCAAGAAUGUAAUAUAAAUAAGCUCUAUGUCCGUCUUCCAAAUAGCAACCAUAAUGCCAAAAUAUCUUCUUUACCUCAAUACCGAAUACAUAAUAUUUAUCAAGAUUAAUAAGGCAGGGAAAAGGUAACACGAAAGAGUUCUCAGCAUAUCCAAUUCAGGAAAGAGUUUAUCAAAAUAUAAAAUAUGUAUAGAACCGAAAACAAUGUGUAUAUGCACAUCAAAUGCAAGGUUGAAAUAGUUUGCCUGGAAUGCACCUGCAUUCCGGUCGAUCAGAUGCUUUUGGUGCAAGCAUCCGAAACUGGAAGCAAUUUGCUAUAGAACAGGUCUUGUGUGUCUCUUCUGUCCUGUUGCUGAUAGCUCAAGUAAAAUUUAAAGUAUCUCUCCUCGAAUCUUGGCUGAAUAAAUUGAUCAUUCAAUUUGACUCUGUUAAAAGAAAUUAGAAGGAAAAAAAAACAUCAUGCACCAAGCAUAAUUUUAUUAACUUUUUGCUUCGUCAUAUUUGCUUUACUCCUUUAGCAAUUGCUCCUUUUCAUAUGCUCAUCCAUAUAUAUAUAUAUAUAUAUAUGGUAUUACGUCAGUAUCAGAUUUGGUUCAAAACUCAGUAAUCUCAAAUUUUAAAGAUUUACCUUUGGACUCGAACAAAAAUUAAUUAGCAAGUAUUGGUGUUUGAAUUAAGCUCUAUAUAUUUGAUCCUCUUCCCACAAAAGAUAGUAUAAAAUUUCUUAUACUUUUUUACUUUUAAAACAAAGGAAAGCAGAAGAAAAUGGACAAUCGGCCACACAUUCAUCUUCUUUUCCCUUUUUGUUUCAUCUCUGUUUUUCUUAGUUAUCUAUUCUUAUAUUUUCCUUUUUAUUUUCACCCUAUUCAGCAUAUCAUUUUAUUCAACAAAAUUUCAGCAAAUACAAAAAGAAAAGUAUAAAAACUUACUCUCCUUUUUAAAUUACACCCAUUUUCAUGCCAGUCGAAACUCCAUUCUUACUCCUAUAAUUAAUUCUGUAAAAUUAUCAUACUUCUCCUCUUAAGUUUGAGGAACAAAUCCCAAAAAAU
RNAcentral lists this long non-coding RNA (1363 nucleotides) under Nicotiana tabacum (common tobacco). RNAcentral describes it as "long non-coding RNA (NTAB_LNC007579)". Lineage: Eukaryota; Viridiplantae; Streptophyta; Magnoliopsida; Solanales; Solanaceae. The record is from RNAcentral.